This 215-nucleotide long non-coding RNA is filed under the name Phoenix dactylifera (date palm). RNAcentral's name for it is "long non-coding RNA (PDAC_LNC017876)". The record is from RNAcentral. Lineage: Eukaryota; Viridiplantae; Streptophyta; Magnoliopsida; Arecales; Arecaceae.
UAAAAUCCUUAUCCUUAACUAAUUUAUCGUAUUUAUGGAGGUGAGAUUGAUUGGUUAGUUUUAGCUCUUUAUUCUUAAGGCUUAUUGUCUUAUAUUCAUCCAUUAAUUCAUUAAACGCAUCAUAUAACUCAUCAAAGGUAAAAUCUAAAUGCGUUUCAGAUGUUACCUCAUUUUCGUUUGCCAUAAAGCAUAGAUUGGCCUUUUCUUCUUGUUCC